UCCGUGUUCACCACGGCAGUCUCUUUAGAGUGCCCAACUGAAUGCUGGCAACUAAAGACAAGGGUUGCGCUCGUUGCGGGACUUAACCCAACAUGUCACCACACGAGCUGACGACAGCCAUGCAGCACCUGUGUGCAGGUCCCCGAAGUGAAGGAAUCCAUCUCUGGAAACCGUCCUGCCAUGUCAAGGGCUGGUAAGGUUCUGCGCGUUGCUUCGAAUUGAACCACAUGCUCCACCGCUUGUGCGGGCCCCCGUCAAUUCCUUUGAGUUUUAGCCUUGCGGCCGUAGUCCCCAGGCGGUCGACUUAAUGCGUUAGCUCCGGCGCCGAGGGGGUCGAUACCCCCGACACCUAGUCGACAUCGUUUACGGCGUGGACUAC
RNAcentral lists this unclassified non-coding RNA (379 nucleotides) under uncultured Pseudomonadota bacterium. RNAcentral's name for it is "uncultured proteobacterium contains 16S-23S intergenic spacer region". Lineage: Bacteria; Pseudomonadati; Pseudomonadota. The record is from RNAcentral.